GUGAACGCUGGCGGUAGGCCUAACACAUGCAAGUCGAACGGCAGCACAGUAAGAGCUUGCUCUUACGGGUGGCGAGUGGCGGACGGGUGAGGAAUACAUCGGAAUCUACUUUUUCGUGGGGGAUAACGUAGGGAAACUUACGCUAAUACCGCAUACGACCUACGGGUGAAAGCAGGGGAUCUUCGGACCUUGCGCGAUUGAAUGAGCCGAUGUCGGAUUAGCUAGUUGGCGGGGUAAAGGCCCACCAAGGCGACGAUCCGUAGCUGGUCUGAGAGGAUGAUCAGCCACACUGGAACUGAGACACGGUCCAGACUCCUACGGGAGGCAGCAGUGGGGAAUAUUGGACAAUGGGCGCAAGCCUGAUCCAGCCAUACCGCGUGGGUGAAGAAGGCCUUCGGGUUGUAAAGCCCUUUUGUUGGGAAAGAAAAGCAGCAGGUUAAUACCCCGCUGUUCUGACGGUACCCAAAGAAUAAACGCCGGCUAACUUCGU
RNAcentral lists this ribosomal RNA (490 nucleotides) under uncultured bacterium. Its description in RNAcentral is "partial 16S ribosomal RNA". It matches the Rfam family "Bacterial small subunit ribosomal RNA", at positions 29 to 506 of the family's 1533-position model. The record is from RNAcentral.